UUUGAGCGAUCUUCUGCAACAAGCCAAGACCUCUGAUAUCGCUGACAUGCGAUGUGUUGCCAUGAGAGGGCUUCCAGUACUUCUUGGUGAUGACCAAACUGAGUUCUUCAAAGCAUGCUUUGCUUCUGAUGAUGGAGACUCGUACCAACAUGUGCCAGUUG
Cyprinus carpio (common carp) is the source of this 161-nucleotide long non-coding RNA. RefSeq lists it as uncharacterized. NCBI's taxonomy places the organism in Eukaryota, Metazoa, Chordata, Actinopteri, Cypriniformes, Cyprinidae. The transcript is spliced from 3 exons. The record is from RefSeq and is a predicted model, not a curated record.